GAUGAACGCUGGCGGCGUGCCUAAUACAUGCAUGUCGAGCGAACGGACGAGAAGCUUGCUUCUCUGAUGUUAGCGGCGGACGGGUGAGUAACACGUGGAUAACCUACCUAUAAGACUGGGAUAACUUCGGGAAACCGGAGCUAAUACCGGAUGAUAUUUUGAACCGCAUGGUUCAAAAGUGAAAGACGGUCUUGCUGUCACUUAUAGAUGGAUCCGCGCUGCAUUAGCUAGUUGGUAAGGUAACGGCUUACCUAGGCAACGAUGCAUAGCCGACCUGAGAGGGUGAUCGGCCACACUGGAACUGAGACACGGUCCAGACUCCUACGGGGGGCAGCAGUAGGGAAUCUUCCGCAAUGGGCGAAAGCCUGACGGAGCAACGCCGCGUGAGUGAUGAAGGUCUUCGGAUCGUAAAACUCUGUUAUUAGGGAAGAACAUAUGUGUAAGUAACUGUGCACAUCUUGACGGUACCUAAUCAGAAAGCCACGGCUAACUACGUG
This 497-nucleotide ribosomal RNA is filed under the name uncultured bacterium. Its description in RNAcentral is "partial 16S ribosomal RNA". It matches the Rfam family "Bacterial small subunit ribosomal RNA", at positions 28 to 507 of the family's 1533-position model. The record is from RNAcentral.